RNAcentral lists this ribosomal RNA (500 nucleotides) under uncultured Achromobacter sp. RNAcentral describes it as "bacterial SSU rRNA". It matches the Rfam family "Bacterial small subunit ribosomal RNA", at positions 1 to 495 of the family's 1533-position model. The record is from RNAcentral. Lineage: Bacteria; Pseudomonadati; Pseudomonadota; Betaproteobacteria; Burkholderiales; Alcaligenaceae.
UACGCCAGAGUUUGGGACCUGGCUCAGAUUGAACGCUAGCGGGAUGCCUUACACAUGCAAGUCGAACGGCAGCACGGACUUCGGUCUGGUGGCGAGUGGCGAACGGGUGAGUAAUGUAUCGGAACGUGCCCAGUAGCGGGGGAUAACUACGCGAAAGCGUAGCUAAUACCGCAUACGCCCUACGGGGGAAAGCAGGGGAUCGCAAGACCUUGCACUAUUGGAGCGGCCGAUAUCGGAUUAGCUAGUUGGUGGGGUAACGGCUCACCAAGGCGACGAUCCGUAGCUGGUUUGAGAGGACGACCAGCCACACUGGGACUGAGACACGGCCCAGACUCCUACGGGAGGCAGCAGUGGGGAAUUUUGGACAAUGGGGGAAACCCUGAUCCAGCCAUCCCGCGUGUGCGAUGAAGGCCUUCGGGUUGUAAAGCACUUUUGGCAGGAAAGAAACGUCAUGGGUUAAUACCCCGUGAAACUGACGGUACCUGCAGAUAUAAGCACCG